AGAGUUUGAUCAUGGCUCAGAAUGAACGUUGGCGGCGUGGAUUAGGCAUGCAAGUCGUGCGAGAAAUUUCCUUCGGGGAAUGGACAGCGGCGAAAGGGAGAGUAAUACGUAGAAAUCUGCCCCUGGGCCUGGGAUAGCGUCGGGAAACUGGCGGUAAUACCGGAUAACGUCUUCGGACCAAAGGUGUGAUUCCGCCUGGGGAUGAGUCUACGACCUAUUAGCUAGUUGGAGGGGUAAUGGCCCACCAAGGCGAUGAUGGGUAGCGGGUGUGAGAGCACGACCCGCCUCACUGGGACUGAGACACUGCCCAGACAUCUACGGAUGGCUGCAGUCGAGAAUCUUUGUCAAUGGACGAAAGUCUGAACAAGCGACGCCGCGUGCGGGAUGAAGGCCCUCGGGUUGUAAACCGCUGUCGUAAGGGAGCAAGUCCAUGGGGGUUCUCCCCCAUGGUUGAGUGAUCUUAGGAGGAAGGACGGGCUAAGUUCGUGCCAGCAGCCGCGGUAAGACGAACCGUCCAAACGUUAUUCGGUAUCACUGGGCUUAAAGAGUUCGUAGGCGGCCAUGUAGGUCAGGUGUGAAAUCCCACAGCUCAACUGUGGAACUGCGCUUGAAACCACAUGGCUUGAGGAAGAUAGAGGUGAGCGGAACAGAUGGUGGAGCGGUGAAAUGCGUUGAUAUCAUCUGGAACACCGGUGGCGAAAGC
RNAcentral lists this ribosomal RNA (703 nucleotides) under uncultured bacterium. RNAcentral's name for it is "bacterial SSU rRNA". It matches the Rfam family "Bacterial small subunit ribosomal RNA", at positions 8 to 722 of the family's 1533-position model. The record is from RNAcentral.